GACGAACGCUGGCGGCGUGCUUAACACAUGCAAGUCGAACGGAAAGGCCCCUUUGGGGGUACUCGAGUGGCGAACGGGUGAGUAACACGUGCGUAACCUGCCCUUGACUUCGGGAUAACUUUAGGAACCUGGGGCUAAUACCGGAUCGGGAUAAUAGCUUCAUGGUGGUGGUUGAAAAGCUUCGGGGGGUUUGGAUGGACUCGCGGCUUAUCAGCUUGUUGGAGGGGUAGUGGCUUACCAAGGCUGUGAAGGGUAGCCGGCCUGAGUGGGCGACCGGCGACACUGGGACUGAGAGGAGGCCCAGACACCGACGGGAGGGAGCAGUGGGGAAGAUUGCACAAGGGGCGGAGGGCGGAUGCAGCAACGCCGCGGGCGGGAUGACGGUCUUCGGGUUGUAAAACGCAUUCAGCAGGAGCGAAGCUUGUGGUGACGGUACCUGCAGAAGAAGCACCGGCUAACUACGUG
Molecule: ribosomal RNA, 465 nt
Filed under: uncultured bacterium
Lineage: Bacteria
Description: partial 16S ribosomal RNA
Rfam family: Bacterial small subunit ribosomal RNA
Source: RNAcentral